Long non-coding RNA from Siniperca chuatsi (mandarin fish), 7192 nucleotides. RefSeq lists it as uncharacterized. Lineage: Eukaryota; Metazoa; Chordata; Actinopteri; Centrarchiformes; Sinipercidae. The record is from RefSeq and is a predicted model, not a curated record. The transcript has 2 exons.
GACAAGAACAGAAAACAUUUUCAGCAUGGAGAGCAGUACUGCACAGAUGCACACAGACUCUCGCUCCACAGUGCAGAAUGUAACUAAUGAUACUGGGGUUGCUUCCCACACGGCUGUAGCAGGAUGAAGGUCUUUCAAAUGAAAAACAGAUAUUCUUCCAUAGCUGACAGAAUUAAUUCCAUUAUGGAAACUACUGUAAUCAUGAAGGGCGCAAGCCUGCGUGCACACACAAAAACACAACCAUGCAAACACACCCACUUAAAGAAAUAACAGCAUGAGUAUGUAUAUACAAGUUAAGUUUGCAAACAAGUCAGUAAUGUAGGUUAAUUCUCAUUAUUACAGAGCGAGCACUAACCCACAGAUCAAUUUGCAUGUUUAAAUACCAUUUACACCCCUCGGGGAAGACAAAUUUACUCCACUCAGGUCUUCUAUACGUCACAAUCCAGCAGGUGAAUAACCUGUUUCUGUAUGAACCAUAUGGAUGUGUGGGAGGUGACACAGUAUUCACAGUGUGUUAUUGUAAUCAAUAUUUAUUAUAUAUGCUGGCUCAAUGUGGCAUGAAUGGGUUAUACACAGUGGAAUUAGAGGCAGAGAGGUAAACCCUGUGUUUUCCUGCUCCUGCAGGGUCACUACCACAGGCUGUGUGUACAUAGUGAAUGUGUACAUACAUAUCCAAGGCUCAUUAGUUUUAGUUCUUAAUAAAUAAAUAAAAAUCUGUUAAUUUAUCUUUUUAGUUUAAAUGACAGGUGAAUUUAUAAAAACCAAUAAGACAAAUAGCCAGGUGAAAAUAUAUAAAAAUACAAUUUUAAGUGCAAACUCUAGUUUAACACUUUGUUUUUCUUGUUACCUUGAGGAAAUCUGGUGCAUAAUCAGCAGCUUUUUUGUAUUUUCUCCCUAUUUUUCUGUUAUGUGAAACACACUCUGAGCUCCCUCAAGACAGUUUUGUUUACUGUAAACUACAGUAAUCAGUUUCAUCUUGUAGCAGUAGCAACUUAUGGAUGUGCAAAGGCAUAAAAUCUACAUGAAAAGUAGUUUAAACCAAUCUGCUUCAUUUAAAAAUGCUUUUUUUUGGUGCAGAUCAGUAAAAACAAAAACAAUGAGCCUUCUACAUGUGUAAGUGCAAGUGUGCAGGCAAACACACUCACAAUAGCCACAGAAGAAAAUGGGAGAUUACUAGAGAAGCUGAGCACUGCUGUAGCAUGUUUCUGCCUCCCAUGACCAUGGAAACUAGAUGGAAAAAUAAACCCUCUGUGGCUUCUGUGCCCUGCACAUGACAUUAGAGUGCCUCGAGGACCAACGGUAACAAUUUUGUCCUAGAUUGCACAAACGUUAAUGGAGGGUGAAAGAGGAUGUUCUUCUGUGGUUCCCAAAAUCACAGUGCAAUGCCGGGAAUAGUCAGAGGAGGGGUGGACGCGAGCGGACCAGAGAAGAGGCACACGCCACAGAUUACAUAAUGCGUCCCCACCCCUGUGCUGCCGUGGAGCAAAACAAAGGCACCCUGCCAUCAGAAACACAGCAACCGGGGCCACAGGAUGAGAGGGCAGAGCGUUUGUUUAUGUGCAUGUCUUUGAGAGAAAGGUACACCGAGAGGAGAGAGGUAUGUGUUUGUGUGUCUGGUCGUCUUACAUAUAAAUGACCACGUGAACGCCCUUGCCCUUCAACAAAGGAAUCAGGUAGGCUGUGUUUUCCUGGCAACGACAUUGGCGUGGUGUUCGUCCAAACAGAGAGGAUCCCGAAGCUUUCCCUCAGAGUUACCACGGCUCAACCUCACAGCUUCCUCAAGUAAAUGGCUAUGUUAUUGCAAACCAAUUUGAGAUAAUAAAUGCUUAUUUUAGUGGUUAGAAGAUUUGGAGGUAGAUUUUUGCUAGCAUAUGGUUCAUUGUUUGCACAGCUUGAUACAUAUGUCUUGUAUUAGACCGCACUGGCAAACCGAGGCAUAAGUGAUUACUGCCCAACAAAAAUCUUAUUAGUGGUUGCGUAUGGUAGGAGACCAGAGUGUAAGCUGCUAUAGAUCAGAUUGUACUUCUUACAUAACAAGCCACAAAACAAGACCCCUCAUCCUGAUUGAAUGACACCCAUGAAGUCAAGCUCUGAAGCAUGGAAAAGAACAGGAAACACCAGCGCAAAUCAGUAGAAAGGGACAAGGCAAAAAAGGACAAAAAAAAUAUUCCAUCCACAGUGCCCGAGUUAUUAAGACAGCAGGGAAUGAUUAUAGGGUCAUUCAUAUUUCCCUCAUUAUGGCUGUUGGGGUUGCUGAGGUGGUCUGGGUGAUGGCUACAUAUUUCAUCUGAAAUCUGUGUAAUUGUCCUGUGACCACGGGAAAACAAUAAAAGGAAUGUACACAGAUGUUGCAUGUUGCCAGUGACAAAAACCAGAGAACAUUGUGGAACAUGACCAUGAAAUUUGAGGGCAGGGAGAGAAAACACAGUUUGAGGGUACUAAACACAAAAGGCCCCACUUAUAACUAAACUGUUUACAAGUGUGGUCUUAAACAAAAACUGAAAAAAAUCCAUCAUUUGUUGAAUGCUCAAACUCCUACUUAAGAAUACUGUACUGUACAUACUGCAGACAAGCAGAGUUAAAGCUCCUUCCAACCAAUAAAUGACAAAAAAAUUACCAAGAAUCUGCAAAGCACAUUGAACCACUUGCCUAAGAAGCUUGAUAUGCUUAAGUAGGCUGUCUCGUAAGCAAAAAGCAUGUCAAGUAUCUGACAGUCUUCAAUAAUUUAGUAGAAUAUGAGAAUACACUUUUAAUGUAACUUAAACAUAUGGUUGUGAUAUGACUGCAUCUUAACUCAAAUCACAAAAUAAAUUGAUCUGUUAAGUGUGACACUGUUAAAAAAACAUGUACGGUUUGUUUAGUCGUCUUCCCCUCCUUUAUCUACCUGAUUUCCCUGAUAACUCUCCUCAUACAGCACUGUUUGACAACAGCACUACAAAUGUGGGUCUCACAGCAGACAAAGCCAACAGGAUGGCAGUGAAAUGCAGAUCGAGGUUCACCCUCGGUCUCCAGGUGGCCAACUUGUGAACUUUGAUCUAUGCGACGAGAUAUCUAAGGAUAUGCGAGGAUCAGGCUGGGAGGGGCCGCAGUGGGUGGGUGCACGUCAAUUAGACAGGAGUUUGUGGGCGAGGGAGUCAGUCUCCUUGCCGGUCGCUGUCAUGACAACCUCGAAUCUUUAAUGCACCCCACGCAUCUUCCAGCCCACUCCUCUCUCUGCACCGUCAAGGACAAGUGGGAAAUGUGAUUAUUUGUGUCCCAAGGGCCAAAGUGACGUCACUGCACAGGAAACGUGCAUGAUCUUGAAUCCCACCUGAUGUGAAUUUACAACGCCAUCAGUUAUGGCCAAGGGGUUGCUCAGUGAGAGGGGAAGCCCAUCUCAACUCCAUUAAGGCGUCUGACAGACAAUUAUCAGUCAAGACGUGGCCGUAAUAGCCGCAGAUACAAGCAUAUGCUAAUGAGCUACAGCGCCUCUGGAAAAUGGGCCUAAUAAACCCAACUUCUGUGUGGAACUAGACCCCUGCCUGUCUAAUGAAUAACAAUACUACAUUACAGCAAAGUGCCAACUUCAACCCACAUGGAGCAGCAGCACAACUGCAACUCCCUGGCACUGGAUUCCCCCUGAGAGCCCCCUCUGCCUGUUGGCUGACAAAUGACCAUCAGGCUCCACACACCCUCCUCCCCUCACUGCCAGCUUGUAACACAUUCAUAUUUUGCUCAACAGCCUGCCCUGCUGGGCCUUAACAUGCCAAAUGGCGGCCAUCAACGGCAUAGUGGCAGCUUAUCGGAGUCCAUAUGCACUGCGUUCAUGUGCUUCAGAUGGCCCCGGCGGCUUGGCUCCAUUUAGCAUCAAAGAUAUAUGUUUGAGGGGGAAUGGACAAGUUGUUUUGCAAGAACAGCAUCUGUGAGGGUUGAGGUGUCAUCAGUAUGCGCGACACUACACCAGUAUACCAGCAACAAGCCUGAACAAUGCCAGUGGACCACAGCGUGUAGGCAGAUGGGCGUCCACAGGCGAUGAUGAUGGGCAAAUCCAUUUACAGCUAGUCACUUUAUUAUCCCAUAUUUAAUGUAUUAGGACAAAUGUUAUUGUGGGUGUUAAAGGUUAAAGUCAUUUGCCUGUUAAUGUGGAGCAAGCUCUCACUCUGCUGUGAUGGAUCUGGUUGAUAUAACAGUUCAGACAAACAUACAGUGAAUCAAGGACCAGCCAGGAGGAUUAGGUUUCAUGUUUGAAUGAUAGCAGGUUGAUGUCUCAGUGCACUGCCAGCUGGAUGUAGACUCCACUGAGUGGCAUACCAAACCAAUGCCGUGUUGAGAGGAGAGAGGAGAAAGAGAUGAGGAGAGGAGAGAUGCCUCAGCAGGCUGAAGAUGACGAGAUGGGAGUCGGCAGCUGCCCCCUUCUUCACAGUCACUGUGCGGGAGGGAGAUGGAGAUUAUGUAACUCGAGCACCUCCACCAGCCUGCUGUACACGCCCGGCUGUGUCCAAACAUACACACACACACACACACACAAAACAUCAAACACACCCUCGCAUUGGCUGAUACAAUCUUAGACCAAUCACUAACUGGCACAUUUUUCAAUAAACAAAAACAGACAAUGGGCAAAACCUAAAUGUAGAGCUGAAAUUAUAAGUCGAUUAAUCGGCAACUAUUUUGAUAAUUCAUGAAUUGUUUGUAAUUUUUCAAGCAUAAAUAGCAUACAUUCCUUGGAUUUGCUGCUUUUCUUUGUCUUAUGUGAUAGUGAAUUAAAAAUGUGGGGUUUCAGACUGCUGGUUGGACAAAAAUCACCUUGAGGGUGACCUGUGGGCUGACAUUGUAUAGACCUGCAGAUUAAUCAAUAAUGAAAAUAAUGGUUUCAAAUUGAUAGUGCAGUACUACUUAAAUGAAAACAAUACAUUAAAACUGAAGUGACUUGUUGGGUCAACAACAUUCUGAUUAUGUGGAUAAAUUGUUUAAGUUUUCAAGCAAAAAUCCAAUGCUUUAGUUUGUCUUAUAUAAUAGUAAGUUGAAUAUAUUUUGGUUUUGAACUGUUGCUCAGACAAAACAAGCAACCUGAAGAUGUCAUAUCAGGUUCUGGGAACUUGUGAUAAGAAAAGAUAUUUUCUAGCCCUAAGUAUUUGUCAGAUUAAUCAAUAGUAAAAACAACUAUUAGCCACAGUCACACACAAGGACAUUUUCCAACUCAAGAAACGGGCAGUUGGACACUUAAAUGCUGUUGGUAGAACUGAAAACUCUUCAAUAGAGCUGAUACGAUUAGUCAGGUUAUUGGUUACUCAAUCGACAAGCAAUUAAUCAACAUCAAAAUUGUUGCAGAUGAAAGUUAUUUUAAAAAUCUGCUGGUUCCAGCUUCUUAAAUGCAAAGAUUCCCUGCUGUACUUUGUCUUAUAUGACAGUAAAUUGAAUCUCUUUGGGUUUUGAACCGUUGUUCACACAACAAUAUAUUAAACAGUAUUUUGCAGAUUAAUCCUGAGCUGUUUUUUUUUUUGUUUUUUUCUCUGUUUUGUAUAACAUGUAAAAGCAACAAUAUUUCCUUUUCUUUGACUGUGAAUCUAAAUUAGUUUCACUCACUGAAAAAAAAUGCAUUCAGGCUUCAUAUGAUUAUAACUAUUAUUAAACAAGGACGUCUCCUCCUGUAAUAGUCACAACAACAGCUGGGAGAUGCAUGAGCUUUGCAGAAUUCACUGUCACCUGUAAGGGAAGUCUGUUGAUCUUAUCUCAGCUUUCUUCCUGUGGCCUGCGAAGGAGACGCAGCAUUACUGCAGCCCUCAGCAGCUGACCCAUGCAAUAAGUGGCCAUAAGGGUUACUGUCAGCAUCUGACACAUUCUUCAUUUUCACGGACACGCCCGAACGCAGAGACUCCCGACAGCCUUGAGGGAGAUGAACCGGUCUGAAAGCAGAGCUGAGACUGAAAGGCUCACAAAGAUGGCAACAGGAAGUACACUGUGCUCUCCCUUAGUAACCGUACACAGACGAUGAUGCAGAGCAGAGGAAUCCCGCGCACUGGGAGUGUCCCAUUACCCUGCAGUCUAUCAUCAUCAGCUGGCUAAGAGGGGAGCGCAAAGUGACUUUCCUCCCUCACAUUAGCCGCACUGGGAGCUGAAGUGGCUCGCUCUAUCAAAUCUAAUAAACACAAAAGGACAGAGAUAGAAUGAAGGGAAGAUGAAAGAUGGAGACAGAGGAGAGGGCGUAGACGUAGAGGUAGAGCUGGGUAUCGUGCCAACUGAAAUGUGUUCAUAGCAGUGCUUCAACAAAAAAAUUUAAGAAUCAAGGACCUUUUUCAGCAAUUUCGAUAACUGAUAAUCUGUUCACAUCAGCCUCCUAGUUGUAAUUCUGAGUCUGAGACAGCAACAGUAUCUCCCAGUUGGUGAAAAGAACUACAGAAGUGUCAACAAAUGACGGCAAAAUGGCAAAACAGUUAGUUUGCUGCUGGUUUCACCUGUUACUGAACAGCUCCAGAUAUGUAACCCAGAAAAAGUAAAUAAUUGAGACUAUUUAAAUGGUUUAAAAGGCUAGCAAUGAGGGUAACCAUCUUGCAAUAAUGUAUAAAUACUCUGGAGAUGUUCCUGUACUCUCUGUUCUACUGACAUUGUAUGAAUGAAUUAUUAAUCUUUUAUCAGAGAAAAAACAUUUGCUGGUUCCAGUUUCCGAUUGUGAGGUUUUCUGAUAGUUGGAAAAAACACCACUUUUGAAAAUGUCACCGUCGACUCUUGAUGGGAGUUUUUGGGGCUGCAACACAUUUUUUUCCAUUAUCAGUUAAUCUGCUGAUUAUUUUCUUAAUUUAUCAAUUAUUUGGUUUAUAAAAUGUUAAGUAAAUUAUAAAAGGAAUUUUUCAGUAUUUUGUAAGUCCAAGGUGAUGUCUUUAAAUGUCUAAAACCAACUAGAUAUUCAGCUUGAAAAGAUAUAAACCAGAAAAGUAGCAAAUCCUCACAAUGGAGAAACUAGAAUCAGCAAAUAUUUGGCGUAUUUGCUUGAUAAAUUUAUUUUAUCAACAAUUAAUCAAUUAUCAAAAUUGUUGGGGAUUCAUUUUAUGUCAAUCAACUAAUAGAUUAAUCAAGUAAUCAUUGUUGCUUUUAGUCCACAACACUGUCAAAAACUAGAGUAUCCAAAGCUGGCACUGAACAUCUUGUCAGAUUUGUGAUCUUGUUUAUUUAUUAUUUGGUUAGAUAGUUUCUGAUUUAAAUAAAAACUUAUUUUGUA